CGGGGUGUGGCGCAGCUUGGUAGCGCACCUGCUUUGGGAGCAGGGGGCCGCAGGUUCAAAUCCUGUCACCCCGAC
Molecule: transfer RNA, 75 nt
Filed under: Streptosporangium roseum
Lineage: Bacteria; Bacillati; Actinomycetota; Actinomycetes; Streptosporangiales; Streptosporangiaceae
Also listed under: 13 other names
Description: tRNA-Pro
Rfam family: tRNA
About the family: Transfer RNA (tRNA) molecules are approximately 80 nucleotides in length.
Source: RNAcentral